AUACUUACUUGGACGGGGUUUAUUAGUUACCAUGAAGGCUAAUGGCCUAGGUUUGGUCUUCCCAGCUCGAUCAAAGCCGCGAUUUGAGGCAGGCUUGGCCGGCCUACCAUCUUCCCAAAGUGGAGGAGGGGACGUCGUAAUUUGUGGAAGUUGAGGGCGGCCCUCUC
Molecule: small nuclear RNA, 167 nt
Organism: Selaginella moellendorffii
Lineage: Eukaryota; Viridiplantae; Streptophyta; Lycopodiopsida; Selaginellales; Selaginellaceae
Rfam family: U1 spliceosomal RNA
About the family: U1 is a small nuclear RNA (snRNA) component of the spliceosome (involved in pre-mRNA splicing). Its 5' end forms complementary base pairs with the 5' splice junction, thus defining the 5' donor site of an intron. There are significant differences in sequence and secondary structure between metazoan and yeast U1 snRNAs, the latter being much longer (568 nucleotides as compared to 164 nucleotides in human).
Source: Rfam